GAUCUGAUUUCUAGAGCUUUCUAUCUUCUCUCUCUUAGAUUCAUAUAACAGUCAUUAAAUACCAUUAGGGUUCUUGAAUAAUAGGCAUUUCAAGCUAUUAAAAGGUAUAACUUAAGACAAGUUAAGGAGGACAACCUUUACCUUGAAGAAUUCAAGUCUUAGUAAGUGGUAGUUAUGUCCAUCAAGUUCAGGGGCGAAAGCCUAGCACGGGCCGAUCCUAAUUGGUAUGGAAGGGUGGCAGCUCAGGGGCGAAAUCCUAGCAUGGGCCGAUCCUGAUUGGUAUGGAAGGGUGGCAGCUCAGGGGCAAAAGCCUAGCAUGGGCCGAUCACAAUUUGUAGAAUUAUGAUGACAACAUCCUAGGGGUUAAAAUGCGUAGCAUGGGUCAUCCUCUUCUACCGCUGAUCAGCUGGUCAUUUGUAUCAUAUGUUGUAUAAAGAUUAUAAAGUACAGAAAAGUAAAGAAAAGAAUGUCACAUGCACGAUUUCACAAGUACAAAACAAAGGUACAAGUACUCAACUAGUAGAUUUUCCCAAUAUAAGCACAUUAUACUCAGCAGAUGUUGGUGAGCUUUAGGUUGAUUCGGGGAUUUUCUGAAUCUUUACUAUGCGUAUUUUCAUAGUGGUACCAUUAUGGAUUCCAGUAGACACUUUGUAGACAUUGUAAAGUUAUCAUCUGUAUUCAUAGUUUUGACUUGUCACAUAUUGCUGUUCACCUAGUCAAUAUGUGUUGUAUAUGAAGCUUCAUCAGUAAUCUGCAUAGUAUUUUAUUUUCUCAUCAUAGAUUACUUGAAAAGCAUGUGGUCAUAAGGUACUUGUCCGCCUCACCUAGGGUUGGGGCUGACAAAAGUGGUGUCAGAGCAGUUCGUCCUAGGGGGUCUACAAAGUCGUGUCCAGUAGAGCCUUAGUUAUGAAUGUGUUGCGCGCCACAUUUAUAACCAGGGGGCUGCUUAGACAUUUAGGAAAUGUUACCUUCCUUCAUAAUCCUAUUCGUGCGAUAGAGCAAAGUUAAGAAGCCAAUUUCCAGUUGUACCGGAUCAUGCUAUUCAUAUUAACUAUGGUUAAGGUUAACGAUUUGUUACAGUGUCAGCAUGUAACAUACAGAAAGGACCUCAAGUUAUCGAAAGUUUGACUAGAUUGAGCUUAUUUUUUCGUCCAUCUCACUCCACAAGGUAUGUUGGCUUUUAUGUUAUUUGCAUUUAAAGUUGCAUUUGUACCAUUUGCAUCAUGUUGGUUCAAAAAUGAAUGUUACCUAGUUACAUAUAUUUGUUGUAGCAUUUCCAGGCAUAUCCUCUUAGGAGGAUGUAACAAGCUCUUGAGUUCUAUAUUUCCUCCAUGCUUACAUGAUUUAUUCCUAUAGAGGACACUUGCUCUUAGUCUUUGAUAUACAUAGAAUUUUCAGCGUUGCACAAGUUCUCGAAAUUGAUGUAGUCAAACCAGUUUCUUUUAGUUCAAAGAAGCAAGUUGCACAAUUUUAUAGAUGGAUGUAUCAGUGCAAUAGUUUUACUACAGAUACCCCUAAUUGGCUGACAAAGCUUAUUCUCACUGUAUGUCUUCCCGAGUAUGUUAAUGUUUGGCAUUUAUAUGGUAUGGGCCAACUCUGAUAAGUACUAAUAACAUUUGUAUUCUUUUCAUUAUUAUAAAACUUAGGGAUAAGAGUGACAAUUGCUGCAAAUGAUAUAUGUGUGGUGGUUCCUUUUAUGAUCUAUGUGUUGGCAAUAAAGAAUUAGUAUGUGCCUAAAGGGUAAGGAUAACAAAAAGAAAGUUAACUGGUUUGAACUAAGUUAUGAUUAGUUGGUUGAACAUAAUGGAAUCUAGUACAUGAAGCUGCUAGUUUUGAUAAAAAAGUUACUUGUUAGAUAGGAAGCUUGUGAGAAUGAAGCUUAAAUUACACAUGCCAAAUAUGUACAAACAACUUCUCAUUAGAAAGAGAUGGAAUAUGUCAAAUUGUCUAAAAUAGGAGUAGGGGUGAUAUGAGGAUGCUAUAGAGGAGUGAGAUAGAAGGUUAUGAGAGAGUGAUUGCUAAAUUGUAUGCGAUAAGAAAAUGUUAUCAACUCUUCAACGCUAACAAGUUAUAAUGGCGCACUGGGAACAAUUUUGUGAACCUUUGUCACACAGAGAAGUUAAUUUACUAUCGAUUCAAGUUUUGAUAUUUAGUCUUGAUAACAACAAGAAAAAAGGAGGUGAAUUUCAUCCACAUAAUUAGUACAAAAAUAAGUAAAACAUUAUACAUAUGUAUAGACUUCCAUCAGUCCUUGUCCAGUUAAGGGAAAUGAAAAAAAUUGAUUAUAUGCAUAUUGCUAGUUUUUCUUAUUUGCUAUCUUGCAUGGGAAAAGAGUCGGAACACCCUCACUUAUUAUGAAAAAAAGUAAGAAAUCUUUUAGUAUGGUUAGACCUAUCUAGUUAAGCCAAAUAGGCUAACUCUAAGACGUUAUGAAUCAUGAUAUAACUUUAUAGGUACCUGACAUUUACAUGUUAUUAGAUUUCAUAUUUCAUGGUGCAUUCAAGCUUCACUAUUUUUUUUCCGACCUUCAAAGAGCAUCAGGCAUUGAGUGUGAUAUAACACAAGCUAGUCAUGAAGGCAAAAUUGACCUCGGCCUCCUACUCUAAAAGAUGAACUAUUUUUUUUGAGGAUUUUCUUUUUCAAUCUCGACUGUACUAUUUAUAUUGACCUAGAUGGAAGCCCUCUCCCAAUUGCAGAACACUAAUAAGAAUUCUUAGGAGAUUGGAGAGAGUACAUGGGAUAUCAAUUGCAUGUGUUUUGAGGCGAGUUAGGAAUAUGAGCAAAACUAUCCCACCUGUAACUUAAACGCUUAAGACAGUGUGUUUACCUUAGUAUGGUAGAAUAGUUCUAUAAUAUAUAUCGUAGUUUCCAAAGGUGAUUUGUUAUAUAAUUAUACAUGCUGCAUGUUCUAUAACUAAUCUAUUUAUAUGUAAUUUUCCCUUUGUGGAUAUCCUUCUCAUAGGUUACCUAACGUCAUGGAAUGCUUACAUGCAAGAGUUACUCGCUUCAGAGCACCCUUGUUUAUUGUUGUUUUCAUAGGAACUUUUCCUUACAUGUUAUUUAUUGCACUGGUUACUUCCCACAUGCCAUUUGACAUUAUUGUACGGGGAAUGCAUGCUAAUUAAUCAUAUAACCAUUUCUAUAUAUUUUUCAUACCAAGUAGCCUAGUUGCUUACACAUUUCAGGACUUAUAGCUUUUCUGGCCAUGUGUUAUGUGCUCACUUGUUCAUAUUUCAUAUCUGCGCUCAUUAAUAUGUUAGUCCACCUAUCCAUGCAAUACGAUGCACUUGUUCGAUGUGAUUUGCGUUUCGUAGUUCAUUUUCUGAUAUGUCUACAUGUCAUAUCUACUACAUGUCUUAGCUUAUGUACUCAUGCAUAAUGUGAUCAUCUAGUCCAUUCCAACAUUCCUUAUAGUUCAUUCGCUCACACUCUGCCCUAUAACUCAUAUGCACACGUACACCAUGUAUUUCUAUAGCUUAAUGCCCGUAUACCUUGCACUCUCCUUUUUGGGCUAGUCUGCCUAUGUGCCAUGCCCAAUGUGACUUAUUCAUCCGUAUACUAUGCCCCUCUCUAUGCUUAUUGAUUUGAGUUUUGAACAAUUUGGGGAUAUAUUUUUUUGUAUCAUUAUGUAAUGAAGAUUUUGACCAGAAAAGGUUGGGUAUAUAUGUAAAUUAAAUCAACCAUAGAUAAAUAACUUAGCAUAAUACCCUAUUGGCAGGAGCGGCAUAAAACUUAGUUUUAUAUUAACAACUAUGCGUUCUUAAAGACUUACGUCUGAAAAGCGUCAUGAAAUAAAAGAGUAAGAAAAGUAUUGCCCCGAUAGACUAUGAUUUUAUGUGUCCGUUCAUAUACAAAAAAAAUUGGGAGAUACUACAGUUAUUCUUAAUUGUUAAGGCCCAGAAGCUAAACUCAGAAUGUGUAACCAUAAGUAUUAGGGAAGGAAUAGAAUAUAACACAAGAUACUUCGGAAUAGAACAUGGUAGAAAGAUACUAAGUAACCCUUCUCAUUCUAAACAUCAACAUAAGGAUCUGAGAUCAUGUGGUCCCCUUAUCUGAUCAUGAAUCCUACUAGAAUUUGUUCAUUUGUUGUGUCAUUUGCGUGUCUUGUAUUUAGGUAUAUUACAGUCCUUAUUUGUAUGAGUCCUACUUGUAUUUCUUUAGUGAAUUACAUGGUAAAGAAGGGGUUUCAUUUUCAUAGUACUAUUUCAUGA
Molecule: long non-coding RNA, 4211 nt
Organism: Solanum lycopersicum (tomato)
Lineage: Eukaryota; Viridiplantae; Streptophyta; Magnoliopsida; Solanales; Solanaceae
Source: RefSeq, a predicted model, not a curated record